GGGCGCUUAGCUCAGUUGGGAGAGCAUCUGCCUUACAAGCAGGGGGUCAUAGGUUCGAGCCCUAUAGCGCCCACCA
Molecule: transfer RNA, 76 nt
Filed under: Aedoeadaptatus ivorii
Lineage: Bacteria; Bacillati; Bacillota; Tissierellia; Tissierellales; Peptoniphilaceae
Also listed under: 2 other names
Description: Peptoniphilus ivorii tRNA-Val(tac)
Rfam family: tRNA
About the family: Transfer RNA (tRNA) molecules are approximately 80 nucleotides in length. Their secondary structure includes four short double-helical elements and three loops (D, anti-codon, and T loops).
Source: RNAcentral